UACAGAGGUGGCAAGCGUUGUUCGGAAUUACUGGGCGUAAAGGGCGCGUAGGCGGCCUUCUAAGUCAGACGUGAAAUCCCCAGGCUUAACUUGGGAACUGCGUCUGAUACUGGGGGGCUUGAAUGCGGGAGAGGGAUGUGGAAUUCCAGGUGUAGCGGUGAAAUGCGUAGAUAUCGGGAGGAACACCAGUGGCGAAGGCGGCUACCUGGCCCAUUCUUGACGCUGAGGCGCGAAAGCCAGGGGAGCAAACGGG
This 253-nucleotide ribosomal RNA is filed under the name uncultured bacterium. Its description in RNAcentral is "partial 16S ribosomal RNA". It matches the Rfam family "Bacterial small subunit ribosomal RNA", at positions 524 to 776 of the family's 1533-position model. The record is from RNAcentral.